Long non-coding RNA from Microplitis mediator, 356 nucleotides. RefSeq lists it as uncharacterized. The transcript is spliced from 3 exons. NCBI's taxonomy places the organism in Eukaryota, Metazoa, Arthropoda, Insecta, Hymenoptera, Braconidae. The record is from RefSeq and is a predicted model, not a curated record.
ACAACACCAAGCAUACCACAGGACAACCUUUUUUAUUGUUUUCUGCAUACAACUUCAAUUAACUGGGAAAUCCGAUCCAGACGGAACACCGAUCGAUUAUUUAAUACUUAUUACCGGUGGGAGGACGAAGAAGGUGAAGCCAUGGAGGGCUUCGACAUCUUCGGUGUAGCGAUGCUACACCAUAUUGCCGAGAACUGGCGUCGACAAUGAGUGUGGGAGGAAGAGUCCUUCAAGCUGUGGGCAAUGUCGACUGAAAGGCGCUUGAGAGUACCCGCCGACGAAGACGAAUUGAAAGAAGAAAAGGAGUGGAUGUCUACUAUAUACGGAGUAGAUUUUUAAAAAAAUAAAUAAUAGAG